AGCAGCCGCGGUAAUUCCAGCUCCAAUAGCGUAUAUUAAAGUUGUUGCAGUUAAAAAGCUCGUAGUUGAAUUUCGGGACCAAUCUGCCGGUCGUGCCUCCGGUACGCACUGGUUUUAUUGGUUUCUCCCUUCUGACGAACCAUGAUGUCAUUAAUUUGGUGUCAUGGGGAAUCAGGACUGUUACUUUGAAAAAAUUUAGAGUGUUUAUAGCAGGCUCACGCUUGAAUACAUUAGCAUGGAAUAAUGAAAUAGGACGUUUGACCCUAUUUUGUUGGUUUCUAGGAUCGACGUAAUGAUUAAUAGGGAUAGUUGGGGGCAUUAGUAUUCAAUUGUCAGAGGUGAAAUUCUUGGAUUUAUUGAAGACUAACUACUGCGAAAGCAUUUGCCAAGGAUGUUUUCAUUAAUCAAGAACGAAAGUUAGGGGAUCGAAGACGAUCAGAUACCGUCGUAGUCUUAACCAUAAACUAUGCCG
This 472-nucleotide ribosomal RNA is filed under the name uncultured Glomus. RNAcentral describes it as "SSU rRNA". It matches the Rfam family "Eukaryotic small subunit ribosomal RNA", at positions 569 to 1044 of the family's 1831-position model. The record is from RNAcentral. Lineage: Eukaryota; Fungi; Glomeromycota; Glomeromycetes; Glomerales; Glomeraceae.